This 384-nucleotide ribosomal RNA is filed under the name Triticum aestivum (bread wheat). RNAcentral describes it as "partial small subunit ribosomal RNA". The record is from RNAcentral. Lineage: Eukaryota; Viridiplantae; Streptophyta; Magnoliopsida; Poales; Poaceae.
AUGGCUACAAAGAAAUAUUUCUUCCAUUGUGGUUCCUUCACAAUUAAGGGCGGCUCGAAAAUUAGAUUCUUGAAGGAUAAGUGGCUAGACAAUGCUACACUCCGGAAUCAAUAUCCAGCUCUAUAUAAUAUUGUAUGUCACGAGGGUGAUACUAUCGCCACGGUUAUGGAAUCUUUUCCACCAAAUGUGACGUUUAUAAGAGAUUUACUUGGACCCAUACUCCAAUCGUGGAACACCCUGCUGCAGCGGUUGUCCACGGUGCAAUUGUCAUAAGGUUCCGAUAAAUUUCGUUGGAACCUACAUGGGAAUGGUCAAUUCUUAGUGGAGUCUAUGUAUAGAGGAGCGCUCCAGGCAGAUGUGCCAAUUGAUAAUAAUAAGAUCUAG